UACGUAGGGGGCAAGCGUUGUCCGGAAUCAUUGGGCGUAAAGAGCGUGUAGGCGGCCAGAAAAGUCCGCUGUGAAAACUCGAGGCUCAACUUCGAGCUGUCGGUGGAAACUUUCUGGCUAGAGUCCGGAAGGGGAGAAUGGAAUUCCUGGUGUAGCGGUGAAAUGCGCAGAUAUCAGGAAGAACACCCGUGGCGAAGGCGGUUCUCUGGGACGGUACUGACGCUGAGACGCGAAAGCGUGGGGAGCGAACAGG
This 253-nucleotide ribosomal RNA is filed under the name uncultured bacterium. Its description in RNAcentral is "partial 16S ribosomal RNA". It matches the Rfam family "Bacterial small subunit ribosomal RNA", at positions 524 to 776 of the family's 1533-position model. The record is from RNAcentral.